RNAcentral lists this long non-coding RNA (2172 nucleotides) under Homo sapiens (human). RNAcentral's name for it is "long intergenic non-protein coding RNA 320". The record is from RNAcentral. Lineage: Eukaryota; Metazoa; Chordata; Mammalia; Primates; Hominidae.
GUUCUUUAGUAGAAGGAUAACAUGACAUAGCAGGAAUAAUACUGCCUUUUCUUUCUGGCAUGGAUCAAGAGAAAAGAAAAUACAAGAAAACAGACAGAAGAUCCUAUCUGCGACAAUUAAGAGCACUCUAAGAGGAAAACACAUCCCACCACACAAGGCAAGGUACUUCUAUGGAAGGGUGAGCCCUCACAGAUGGAGCAAUGGGGCGCGCACACCUGAACAAGGGAGGGGAAGGAGUUCUUAUCCCUGAUGCAUGUGACCCCUGCUGCUGUGUCCUUCCCCUAUUGGCUAAGGUUAGACCACACAGCCUAAACUAAUUCCGAUUGGCUAAUUCAAAGAGAGCGACGGGGGCUUCUGACAGCUUUGGAGAUUGUGACAUUGGAAUAAAGGAAAAACGUACAGGACUCAUGAAGCGCUGAAAUGUUCACAAAUAUCAAGCAAAAGUCAAUGAAAUUUAUUUUGAGCUAUUUACAUCAUUUAAUAAUUGAGCAAGGUAUACUCCUAUGAACAAAAUUUGGAGCAUGUUUGUCUCUCUCUGCCUGGCGUCUUCAGAAUUUGGAAACUAGUUAUGGUUUAUAAUCAGCUAUAGAAUUUUAACACGUGCUCUCAAAUGCAAGUUUCUGAUAACUUUGGAGAUUGUGACAUUGGAAUAAAGGAAGAGCUGGAAUGUUCAUGAAUAUCAAGCAAAAGUCAUGGAAAUUUAUUUUGAGCUAUUUACAGCAUUUAAUAAUUGAGCAAGGUAUACUCCUAUGAACAAAAUUUGGAGCAUGUUUGUCUCUCUCUGUCUGCCUGGCAUCUACAGAAUUUGGAAACUAGUUGUGCUGUACUGCAUGAGAAUGCCUGCAUUUAGUAUGCGAACUGGAAUUGGCAAAGGACGAUGGCUGCUCUCCCGCUAACUUUAAAUAAGUCAUGUCACAAAUUGCAUUCGUUCCCAGAUUUCCUAAACUUUCCAGAGAAAAUGGUCUUCUCCCUGGCUCAGCAAGAAGAUGAACUUUAAACACUGAGAAACUGGUCAUCUCCCUGGCUCAACCAGAAGAUGAACUUUAAACACUACUCUCAAUGACUUGAUGUUCCCAUCACUACUCCUGUCAUAAAGGGAGGGGACUCAGAUAUUGAGAAUUUUAUGAUAGUGUGAACUGUCUGGUAUGUCAUUUAAGUAAGCCCGUUGCUGAAAUAUUUUCCAUGUUAUUAGAAAGAGCUGAAGAGAGGGAUUGAGAUGGCUUCUUUAUUUUUUGUCUUUUGGGAAUUAAAGGAACCUGGUUCAACAAGGGCCUACACCUAAGUCUCUUGUUGUACCAGAGUACAAUUUAGGACUGCUCCUGAGGAAGGAAUUAGCUAGAAAUCUAGAGAGUAAGGGUAACAGAUUUACAUAGAAUAACAGCCUCAGUAUUUUUGGUUCCUCUCCAGUAAAGAUCACAAAGAAUAUUGCUAAAUCGCUAAAACACCUUUGCAAUAACGUAAGGGCUUACAACUAUAUACCAAUGUAGCUCAGUUACUAAACUGGAGUAAACUAAUUUCUCUUGUGUAGAAAAAUUGGUUGGCUGUGGUUUUAUAGCAGAUCUGCAAUUAUUAAUAGUUAUGCCAAUAAUCGUUUAACAGUGCAUAUGUUAAUAUAUAUGGAAAGACAAUGUGUAUAGACAGAUGUGUAAAAUUGAAAAAUAAACAUAUAACAAGAGAGAAACAUCUAUCGAACAGACAAUAUACAUACACAUCAAACACAACAGCAGUUUUAGUGACCAUAAUAUUUAUUUCUCAUUUUUACAUUGCUUACUUUAGUGACAACUGAAAAUGACAGUUGGCAAUGCAGCUAACAGUUUCAAUAAAAGUAUAAAACAAAAGACUGUGUACAAAGCACCUGUCUUUCCGCUUUUGUAAUCUUCCGUUGGAAAAAAUUUACACACCUAAGUAACCAUCUGUUUUCUUCAAGAAAAAAUCAUUCUUAUUUCUCUCUCUCAUCUUGAAAACAGCUGUCAGCCAGGAGGGCAGAGCUGAAAUUUAUUGCCACAUCACAUGAAGCAUAGAACAGACUCCACUACUCCUUGAGAUUCAAAACUUUGCCUCUCACAAAGUUACCUUUUAUUUUCCUCUUGUUUGUCACUCAUCUCCCCUAGUGUGCUCUUUUUAUUUCUUUUACUAUUAAUAAUAAAAUCUGUGGAUGACUGUAUUAUUGAA